Molecule: ribosomal RNA, 255 nt
Filed under: uncultured bacterium
Lineage: Bacteria
Description: partial 16S ribosomal RNA
Rfam family: Bacterial small subunit ribosomal RNA
Source: RNAcentral
UACGUAGGGGGCUAGCGUUGUCCGGAUUUAUUGGGCGUAAAGAGCGUGUAGGCGGCCAGGUAGGUCUGGUGUGAAAACUCGAGGCUUAACCUCGAGAUGUCAUCGGAAACCAUCUGGCUAGAGUCCGGAAGAGGAGAGUGGAAUUCCUGGUGUAGCGGUGAAAUGCGCAGAUAUCAGGAAGAACACCAAUGGCGAAAGCAGCUCUCUGGGACGGUACUGACGCUGAGACGCGAAAAGCGUGGGGGAGCGAACAGG